GGCAGCAGGCGCGAAACCUUUACACUGCACGCCAGUGCGAUAGGGGGACACCGAGUGCGAGGGCAUAGAGCCCUCGCUUUUCUGGACCGUAAGGUGGUCCACGAAUAAGGGCUGGGCAAGACCGGUGCCAGCCGCCGCGGUAAUACCGGCAGCCCGAGUGAUGGCCGAUAUUAUUGGGCCUAAAGCGUCCGUAGCUGGCCGAGCAAGUUCGUCGGGAAAUCCACGCGCCCAACGUGUGGGCGUCCGGCGAAAACUGUUCGGCUUGGGACCGGAAGAUCCGAGGGGUACGUCCGGGGUAGGAGUGAAAUCCCGUAAUCCUGGACGGACCACCGAUGGCGAAAGCACCUCGGAAGGACGGAUCCGACAGUGAGGGACGAAAGCUAGGGUCUCGAACCGGAUUAGAUACCCGGGUAGUCCUAGCCGUAAACGAUGCUCGCUAGGUGUGGCACAGGCUACGAGCCUGUGCUGUGCCGCAGGGAAGCCG
This 484-nucleotide ribosomal RNA is filed under the name uncultured archaeon. Its description in RNAcentral is "bacterial SSU rRNA". It matches the Rfam family "Archaeal small subunit ribosomal RNA", at positions 331 to 814 of the family's 1478-position model. The record is from RNAcentral.